This 506-nucleotide long non-coding RNA is filed under the name Androctonus crassicauda. Lineage: Eukaryota; Metazoa; Arthropoda; Arachnida; Scorpiones; Buthidae. The record is from RNAcentral.
AUAGCUUCCUAACUAAUAUGUCUUGUAAUGGAUUUUACUCCCCGGUUGCUCUGUUUCCCUUCAUUGGCGUUUUGUUUCAAACUCGAGAAAAACGGAAAUGCAAACAAUAAAAAAAACGGAGGACCGUGGGAAAAGGGAAAGAAAAAGAAGACAGGGAGACACGAGAGUAAGAUUAUGGUCCACAGUAACGAAGAGAAAGGGGAAGAUCGCAUGGAAAGCGAAAGGAACGGAACAGAAUAGAUUGGAUCCUAGAUCAGAGUUUCGACAGAACUCAACAGUGGAGAGUUUCUAACGUAGUUCUCUGGGGAGAUAGAUCCCAGAAGGGUAUACAGAAAAGAACUGGACAGCGGUGGAAUUUUGAAGCUUAUCGUAUUCAUCAUCUGUGUGGACUUUACCUUUGUAGAUUCUCGCAGCCACUCUCCCGUAGAGGAUUGAUUUUGUUCGCUCACAUUUCACUAUAAAUGGUAUCAUCCAGGUUCUCCGAACGAACAUUUAGAUGUAUUAUG